Molecule: ribosomal RNA, 256 nt
Filed under: uncultured bacterium
Lineage: Bacteria
Description: partial small subunit ribosomal RNA
Rfam family: Bacterial small subunit ribosomal RNA
Source: RNAcentral
AGGACGAACGCUGGCGGCGUGCUUAACACAUGCAAGUCGAGCGGAAAGGCCCUUCGGGGUACUCGAGCGGCGAACGGGUGAGUAACACGUGAGUAACCUGCCCCUAGCUCUGGGAUAGCUCCGGGAAACCGGGAUUAAAUACCAGAUACGACCACUUUAGACAUCUGUCGUGGUGGAAAGGAUUCCGGCUAGGGAUGGGCUCGCGGCCUAUCAGCUUGUUGGUGGGGUAACGGCCUACCGAAGGCGACGACGGGUA